GUCAAAGUUCUCUUUGGUUAUCUAGCUGUAUGAGUGAAUUUAGAACAUCAUAAAGCUAGCAUACCGAAGUUAAUAGUUGAC
This 81-nucleotide microRNA precursor is filed under the name Aedes aegypti (yellow fever mosquito). RNAcentral describes it as "microRNA aae-mir-9a precursor (aae-mir-9a-1, aae-mir-9a-2)". Its record names the gene aae-mir-9a-1. It matches the Rfam family "mir-9/mir-79 microRNA precursor family". Rfam says of the family: The mature ~21nt miRNAs are processed from hairpin precursor sequences represented here. miR-9 is processed from the 5' arm of its precursor, and miR-79 from the 3' arm. The bounds of the precursors are predicted based on conservation and base pairing and are not generally known. Lineage: Eukaryota; Metazoa; Arthropoda; Insecta; Diptera; Culicidae. The record is from miRBase by way of RNAcentral.